This 1890-nucleotide ribosomal RNA is filed under the name Triticum aestivum (bread wheat). RNAcentral describes it as "partial small subunit ribosomal RNA". The record is from RNAcentral. Lineage: Eukaryota; Viridiplantae; Streptophyta; Magnoliopsida; Poales; Poaceae.
AUGGCGCCCUCAUCAUCACCGCUGCCGGGCCGUCUCGUCAUACUCUACGCAUCGCAAACCGGCAACGCCAUAGAUGCUGCUGAACGUGUAGGCCGAGAGGCUGAGCAUGGGGGCUGCCCAGCUGUCGACGUUCUCUCCAUGGAUAGCUUUAAUCCCAGUUGUUUGCCUGACGAAAGGUUUAUGAUCUUCAUUGUGUCUACCACGGGGCAGGGAGAUCCCCCAGAUUCCAUGAAGAAUUUUUGGAAAUACCUUCUGAGAAAUCAUCUGGGUGCGCGAUGGCUGAAAGGAUUGCAUUAUGCCAUGUUUGGGCUCGGCGACUCAAGCUAUAGGGAGUACAAUGUGGGUUUUCCUGCAAUCAAGCUCGAUCAAAGGCUUUUUGAUCUUGGUGCCAAACGAAUCACAGAGAGAGGCUUGGGAGAUGAUCAACAUUCUUUGGGAUACGAAGGAGAACUAGAUCCAUCGUUGUUAUCUUUGUGGAAAUCCCUGAAUCGAACAAAUCCAUCACUGCUACCAAGAGUAUCUGACGCCAGUCAUCGUAAAUUGAAUAUUUUGGGGGAUGCAAAGGUAGAAGUCAUCUAUUACUCGGCUCGGCAAGCUACUGAUAUUUCAGACUCCAAGAUAUUAAUUGAGAAAGCACGCUCAAUGUCCCCUGCUCUAAAGUGCCAUAAUAGCAGAGAGCCACAACACAUGUUACAAAUGGUAACAAAUCAGCGUUUGACAAAGGGAGACACUGACAGAGAUGUCCGCCACUUUGAAUUGGAAGAUCGGCGUUCUGCCAUCAGUUAUCAAGUUGGUGAUGUUCUAGAAAUUUUACCAAGUCAGAAUCCAUCACUUGUUGAUGAUUUCAUUAAGCGCUGUAACUUGGAUCCCGAUUGUUACAUUACGGUUCGAACAAAGGAUGGGGACAAAGUUCCUAAAGAUCCCAUCAAGCUAAAGACCUUUGUUGCUUUGACAAUGGAUGUCACAUCAGCUUCUCCAAGGCGAUAUUUCUUCGAGGUCAUGAGCUAUUUUGCAACAGAUGAACGUGAAAAAGCAAAACUUCAGGAUUAUACUUCUCCUGAAGGAAGGGGCGACCUUUCCUGGUACAAUCAAAAUGAGAACCGGACUGUUCUAGAAGUAUUGGUGGAUUUCCCCUCGGUGCAAAUGCCUUUUGAAUGGCUGGUGCAACUGACGCCUCCGUUGAAGAAAAGAGCCUUUUCCAUAUCGUCGUCCCCCUUAGUCUACCCAAAUCAGAUACACUUGACUGUUAGUGUAGUACUCCCUCCGGUCCUUUUUACUCUGCAUAUUAGGACGCAGCAUGGUCUCUGCUCCACAUGGCUAACGGGGCUCAGUCCAGAUGAAGACGAUCAUCUUAUACCAUGUUGGAUGCGCCGAGGAUCGCUGCCUCGCCCACGGCCCUCGGUUCCUCUCCUGCUCAUCGGGCCGGGAACAGGGUGCGCGCCGUUCCGCGCAUUCGUGGAGGAAAGGGCCGCACAGAGCGCGGCGGAUCCAACUACUGCUCCUGUGAUGUUCUUCUUCGGCUGUAGAAACGAAGACAUCGAUUUCCUGUACAAGGACUUCUGGCUGAAACACGCCCAGGGGCAAGGAGGGGUGCUGUCCCACGAAAAGUGCGGCGGUUUCUUCGCCGCCUUCUCUCGGGAUCAGCCUCGGAAGGUCUACGUGCAGGACAAGAUAAAGGAGCAGGGGGCGAGAGUCCUGGACAUGCUGUGCUCCAAAUCGUCUAAGGCUGCGAUAUACGUCGCCGGGUCUUCAACCGGAAUGCCCGCCGAUGUUACGGUGGCGUUGGAGGAAGUUCUGUGUCAAGAGGGCGGUGUUCCGCGGGAGGAUGCUUCGGGGUGGCUGAAGGAUCUGAAGAGGGCUGGUAGGUUUAUCGUUGAGACCUGGUCGUAA